Molecule: ribosomal RNA, 37 nt
Filed under: Symbiodinium sp. Three0503dir
Lineage: Eukaryota; Dinophyceae; Suessiales; Symbiodiniaceae
Description: partial 28S ribosomal RNA
Source: RNAcentral
CAGGUGCAUGCCUCUAGCAUGAAGUCAGAAAGUGAAC